Molecule: long non-coding RNA, 1192 nt
Filed under: Olea europaea (common olive)
Lineage: Eukaryota; Viridiplantae; Streptophyta; Magnoliopsida; Lamiales; Oleaceae
Description: long non-coding RNA (OEUR_LNC013151)
Source: RNAcentral
GGCCUAUAAAUAGACAUAGUGGUUGAAUUAGAACAAUAAGGUAAAUAGCACAAAACGUACAUACUUUUUAAUACCACUGUGCAAAACAUCCAUACAUUUCCUUUUUUGGAAUUUUCACCUUUCAUUGCAGCAAAUGUCAUUUUCAUCCAUUUUACCAAUAAAAAGAUAAUUUUACCCUCCUAUUCAAAUAAAACAAAAAGAAAUGAAACGAAAGGUUAAAAAAUUAAUUGCAACAAUGAUCUCAAAUUUUUUAAAAAUUACAAAUUAACAUAUCAUCACCCAAAUCACCCACGCCACCCACCACUAUUAGCACUAUUCAAAUCAUCAUUGUGACCUCAAAUUCACGAUGCACCACCGUCACCUUCUUUUCAAAUUCACAACAACCACCACCUUAUUCACCUCAAACCCUCACCACCACCUUCAUUUCAAAUCCACCAUCAGCAUCCAUCUUCAUCCAUUUCACAGUCCACAACCACCCAUCUUCCACAAUCAACCACCACCAUCCCAUCUUCUGGAGCCAUCCAUCUUAAUCCCUUUCACAGCUCACCAACACCUGGCUUCCACAGUCAACUGCAACAAAUAUUGCCGACUUCUCCUCCGUUGGGUGGUUAUUUUCGACACCAAAGUUAAUCUUGAGUUCCGACGACGGAGCUUCACUGAUGACAAGGCUACUGUAUCAAUUCAUGAAGCGGUUGGACUUUGAAAUUUGAUUUUUAUUUUUAGUCCACCACCAUGUGCUAUGAGCUAAAUGCCCCAUAUGCUUUAGCGAGUCUGGUGGCAAAAUUCCUAUAGGCAUCAGAAGGAGAGUUCCAUCGGAAAAGGACCUUCAGAGACAGUGAUAGUGACGAAUAGCAUGUGUCAAAUGAAGGUAGAAGACAGAUUAUAGAUUUGAAACAUUGGGGCAAAUUGAUUAAGUGAUAAGGGCGUGGGAGUAGAGGGUAGUCGGUUAGUUGGUUUCCGAUGACGAUGGUUGCAAUUGGUAGUAGGGUCGGUUGGGGGGAGAGAGAUAGAGAGUCACAGAUUUUUUUGAAUGAGAAGGAGUGGGGAUUAUUGAAAUUGAAAGUCAAAUAAUUUUUUGAAAAUUUGGGACUAUUUUACAAUUAAUUCUUUAUUCUUUUAUUUCUUUUCUUUUUGUUUUAUUUGAAUAGGAAUGUAAAAUUGUCCUUUUAUUGAAAAAAUGGAUGAAAAUGAC